This 776-nucleotide ribosomal RNA is filed under the name uncultured Neocallimastigales. RNAcentral's name for it is "partial large subunit ribosomal RNA". It matches the Rfam family "Eukaryotic large subunit ribosomal RNA", at positions 22 to 628 of the family's 3401-position model. Lineage: Eukaryota; Fungi; Neocallimastigomycota; Neocallimastigomycetes; Neocallimastigales. The record is from RNAcentral.
CGCAUCUGUGCACUGCAGCAUAUCAAUAAGCGGAGGAAAAGAAACUAACAAGGAUUCCCCUAGUAACGGCGAGUGAAGCGGGAAGAGCUCAAAUUUGAAAUCUUAAAGGGUUUCCCUUUACGAAUUGUAGUUUAAAGAAGUGUUUUCUGUUGAGGUUUUGGUAAAAGUUCUUUGGAAUAGGACAUCAUAGAGGGUGAGAAUCCCGUAUUUGACCUUUACUUUCAACUUUGUGAUACAGCUUUCAAAGAGUCGGAUUGUUUGGGAAUGCAGUCCAAAAUGGGUGGUAAAUUUCAUCUAAAGCUAAAUAUUGGCGAGAGACCGAUAGCGAACAAGUACCGUGAGGGAAAGAUGAAAAGAACUUUGAAAAGAGAGUUAAACAGUACGUGAAAUUGUCAAAAGGGAAGCGUUUGACACCAGUGUUGUUUUUCUGAAAAUCAAUUAAAGAACUGUUUAUGCUAAGCUGUUUAGACUUUAUCAGCUAUCUGUUUAGUUUUGAGCUUUUCUUUAAUGCACUUUUCAGUUAACAAGUCAACAUCAAUUUCUUUUGCUGUAAAAAAGCUUGAGGAAGGUGGCUUGAGAUUCGUCUUAAGUGUUUAUAGCCUCUUGCCUAUGCAGUCGGAGAGAUUGAGGUCUGCAGCGUAGAUCCUUCGGGGCUAAAUGCAUUUGUGCUAAGUUAUAGCAUUUUAUAGACAACUUGUUGACUAUGAUUUGUCUUGUAGCUUACUCGCUUAUGUUAUUUUACCUACGCUUAGGAUGUUGAGUCGUAGAGCACGCAG